RNAcentral lists this non-coding RNA (48 nucleotides) under Schistosoma margrebowiei. The record is from RNAcentral. Lineage: Eukaryota; Metazoa; Platyhelminthes; Trematoda; Strigeidida; Schistosomatidae.
AUCCAGCUGACGAGUUCCAAACAGGACGAAACGCGCGUCAAACUGGAU